This 1394-nucleotide ribosomal RNA is filed under the name metagenome. Its description in RNAcentral is "bacterial SSU rRNA". It matches the Rfam family "Bacterial small subunit ribosomal RNA". The record is from RNAcentral.
AGAGUUUGAUCCUGGCUCAGGACGAACGCUGGCGGCGCGCCUAACACAUGCAAGUCGAACGAGAGAUGAGGAGCUUGCUCUUCAAAUCGAGUGGCGAACGGGUGAGUAACGCGUGAGGAACCUGCCUCAAAGAGGGGGACAACAGUUGGAAACGACUGCUAAUACCGCAUAAGCCCACGGCUCGGCAUCGAGCAGAGGGAAAAGGAGCAAUCCGCUUUGAGAUGGCCUCGCGUCCGAUUAGCUAGUUGGUGAGGUAACGGCCCACCAAGGCGACGAUCGGUAGCCGGACUGAGAGGUUGAACGGCCACAUUGGGACUGAGACACGGCCCAGACUCCUACGGGAGGCAGCAGUGGGGAAUAUUGCACAAUGGGGGAAACCCUGAUGCAGCGACGCCGCGUGGAGGAAGAAGGUCUUCGGAUUGUAAACUCCUGUUGUUGAGGAAGAUAAUGACGGUACUCAACAGGGAAGUGACGGCUAACUACGUGCCAGCAGCCGCGGUAAAACGUAGGUCACAAGCGUUGUCCGGAAUUACUGGGUGUAAAGGGAGCGCAGGCGGGAGAACAAGUUGGAAGUGAGAUCCAUGGGCUCAACCCAUGAACUGCUUUCAAAACUGUUUUUCUUGAGUAGUGCAGAGGUAGGCGGAAUUCCCGGUGUAGCGGUGGAAUGCGUAGAUAUCGGGAGGAACACCAGAGGCGAAGGCGGCCUACUGGGCACCAACUGACGCUGAGGCUCGAAAGUGUGGGUAGCAAACAGGAUUAGAUACCCUGGUAGUCCACACCGUAAACGAUGAUUACUAGGUGUUGGAGGAUUGACCCCUUCAGUGCCGCAGUUAACACAAUAAGUAAUCCACCUGGGGAGUGCGACCGCAAGGUUGAAACUCAAAGGAAUUGACGGGGGCCCGCACAAGCAGUGGAGUAUGUGGUUUAAUUCGACGCAACGCGAAGAACCUUACCAAGUCUUGACAUCCCUUGACGAACAUAGAAAUAUGUUUUCUCUUCGGAGCAAGGAGACAGGUGGUGCAUGGUUGUCGUCAGCUCGUGUCGUGAGAUGUUGGGUUAAGUCCCGCAACGAGCGCAACCCUUAUGGUCAGUUACUACGCAAGAGGACUCUGGCCAGACUGCCGUUGACAAAACGGAGGAAGGUGGGGAUGACGUCAAAUCAUCAUGCCCUUUAUGACUUGGGCUACACACGUACUACAAUGGCGUUAAACAAAGAGAAGCAAGACCGCGAGGUGGAGCAAAACUCAGAAACAACGUCCCAGUUCGGACUGCAGGCUGCAACUCGCCUGCACGAAGUCGGAAUUGCUAGUAAUCGUGGAUCAGCAUGCCACGGUGAAUACGUUCCCGGGCCUUGUACACACCGCCCGUCACACCAUGAGAGCCGGGGGGACCCG